UACGGAGGGGGCUAGCGUUGUUCGGAAUUACUGGGCGUAAAGCGCACGUAGGCGGACUGUUAAGUCGGGGGUGAAAUCCUGGGGCUCAACCUCAGAAUUGCCUCCGAUACUGGCAGUCUCGAGUGCGGGAGAGGUGAGUGGAAUUCCCAGUGUAGAGGUGAAAUUCGUAGAUAUUCGGAAGAACACCAGUGGCGAAGGCGGCUCACUGGCCCGGUUCUGACGCUGAGGUGCGAAAGCGUGGGGAGCAAACAGG
This 253-nucleotide ribosomal RNA is filed under the name uncultured bacterium. Its description in RNAcentral is "partial 16S ribosomal RNA". It matches the Rfam family "Bacterial small subunit ribosomal RNA", at positions 524 to 776 of the family's 1533-position model. The record is from RNAcentral.